Molecule: small RNA, 125 nt
Filed under: Marmota monax (woodchuck)
Lineage: Eukaryota; Metazoa; Chordata; Mammalia; Rodentia; Sciuridae
Source: RNAcentral
GCUGGGUGAGGUGGUGCACACCUGUAAUCCCAGCGACUUGGGAGGCUGAGACAGGAGGAUUUCAAGUUCAAAGCCAGCCUCAGCGAAAGCAAGGCAUCAAGCAACUCAGUGAGACCCUAUCUCUA